This 301-nucleotide ribosomal RNA is filed under the name uncultured bacterium. RNAcentral describes it as "partial 16S ribosomal RNA". It matches the Rfam family "Bacterial small subunit ribosomal RNA", at positions 509 to 807 of the family's 1533-position model. The record is from RNAcentral.
CAGUCGCCACGGUAAUACGGAGGGUGCAAGCGUUGUCCGGAUUUAUUGGGUUUAAAGGGUGCGUAGGCGGCCUAAUAAGUCAGUGGUGAAAGCCUCCAGCUCAACUGGAGAACUGCCAUUGAUACUGUUGGGCUUGAGUAUACUUGAGGUAGGCGGAAUUGACAGUGUGGCGGUGAAAUGCAUAGAUAUUGUCAAGAACACCAAUUGCGAAGGCAGCUUACUAAAUUAUAACUGACGCUGAGGCACGAAAGUGUGGGUAUCAAACAGGAUUAGAUACCCCCGUAGUCCCUGUCUCUUAUAC